RNAcentral lists this ribosomal RNA (536 nucleotides) under Staphylococcus sp. MSB2024. RNAcentral describes it as "bacterial SSU rRNA". It matches the Rfam family "Bacterial small subunit ribosomal RNA", at positions 8 to 526 of the family's 1533-position model. Lineage: Bacteria; Bacillati; Bacillota; Bacilli; Caryophanales; Staphylococcaceae. The record is from RNAcentral.
AGAGUUUGAUCAUGGCUCAGGAUGAACGCUGGCGGCGUGCCUAAUACAUGCAAGUCGAGCGAACAGAUAAGGAGCUUGCUCCUUUGACGUUAGCGGCGGACGGGUGAGUAACACGUGGGUAACCUACCUAUAAGACUGGGAUAACUUCGGGAAACCGGAGCUAAUACCGGAUAAUAUUUCGAACCGCAUGGUUCGAUAGUGAAAGAUGGUUUUGCUAUCACUUAUAGAUGGACCCGCGCCGUAUUAGCUAGUUGGUAAGGUAACGGCUUACCAAGGCGACGAUACGUAGCCGACCUGAGAGGGUGAUCGGCCACACUGGAACUGAGACACGGUCCAGACUCCUACGGGAGGCAGCAGUAGGGAAUCUUCCGCAAUGGGCGAAAGCCUGACGGAGCAACGCCGCGUGAGUGAUGAAGGUCUUCGGAUCGUAAAACUCUGUUAUUAGGGAAGAACAUACGUGUAAGUAACUGUGCACGUCUUGACGGUACCUAAUCAGAAAGCCACGGCUAACUACGUGCCAGCAGCCGCGGUAAUAC